Molecule: ribosomal RNA, 252 nt
Filed under: uncultured bacterium
Lineage: Bacteria
Description: partial 16S ribosomal RNA
Rfam family: Bacterial small subunit ribosomal RNA
Source: RNAcentral
ACGAAGGUCCCGAGCGUUAUUCGGAAUCACUGGGCGUAAAGAGUACGUAGGCGGUUUGGUAAGUCAGGUGUGAAAUCCCGGAGCUCAACUCCGGAACUGCAUCCGAUACUGCUAGACUUGAGUAAUGGAGGGGCAGGUGGAAUUCUCGGUGUAGCAGUGAAAUGCGUGGAUAUCGAGAGGAAGACCAAUGGCGAAGGCAGCCUGCUGGACAUUUACUGACGCUGAGGUACGAAGGCCAGGGUAGCGAAAGGG